Molecule: ribosomal RNA, 643 nt
Filed under: uncultured bacterium
Lineage: Bacteria
Description: bacterial SSU rRNA
Rfam family: Bacterial small subunit ribosomal RNA
Source: RNAcentral
CGCGGCCUAUCAGCUUGUUGGUGGGGUAGUGGCUUACCAAGGCUUUGACGGGUAGCCGGCCUGAGAGGGUGACCGGCCACAUUGGGACUGAGAUACGGCCCAGACUCCUACGGGAGGCAGCAGUGGGGAAUAUUGCACAAUGGGCGGAAGCCUGAUGCAGCAACGCCGCGUGCGGGAUGACGGCCUUCGGGUUGUAAACCGCUUUCGCCUGUGACGAAGCGUGAGUGACGGUAAUGGGUAAAGAAGCACCGGCUAACUACGUGCCAGCAGCCGCGGUGAUACGUAGGGUGCGAGCGUUGUCCGGAUUUAUUGGGCGUAAAGGGCUCGUAGGUGGUUGAUCGCGUCGGAAGUGUAAUCUUGGGGCUUAACCCUGAGCGUGCUUUCGAUACGGGUUGACUUGAGGAAGGUAGGGGAGAAUGGAAUUCCUGGUGGAGCGGUGGAAUGCGCAGAUAUCAGGAGGAACACCAGUGGCGAAGGCGGUUCUCUGGGCCUUUCCUGACGCUGAGGAGCGCAAGCGUGGGGAGCGAACAGGCUUAGAUACCCUGGUAGUCCACGCUGUAAACGGUGGGUACUAGGUGUGAGGGUCUUUCUACGACUUUCGUGCCGUAGCUAACGCUUUAAGUACCCCGCCUGGGGAGUACGG